This 293-nucleotide ribosomal RNA is filed under the name uncultured actinomycete. RNAcentral's name for it is "partial 16S ribosomal RNA". It matches the Rfam family "Bacterial small subunit ribosomal RNA", at positions 220 to 526 of the family's 1533-position model. Lineage: Bacteria; Bacillati; Actinomycetota; Actinomycetes; Actinomycetales. The record is from RNAcentral.
AUUGGAUGAGCCCGCGGCCUAUCAGCUUGUUGGUGGGGUAAUGGCCCACCAAGGCGACGACGGGUAGCUGGUCUGAGAGGACGACCAGCCACACUGGGACUGAGACACGGCCCAGACUCCUAUGGGAGGCAGCAGUGGGGAAUAUUGCGCUAAUGCGCGAAAGCGUGACGCAGCGACGCCGCGUGGGGGAUGAAGGCCCUCGGGUUGUAAACCCCUUUCGGCAGGGACGAAGCGAGAGUGACGGUACCUGCAGAAGAAGUCCCGGCUAACUACGUGCCAGGGCCCGGAUGAAU